This 492-nucleotide ribosomal RNA is filed under the name uncultured bacterium. RNAcentral's name for it is "partial 16S ribosomal RNA". It matches the Rfam family "Bacterial small subunit ribosomal RNA", at positions 29 to 507 of the family's 1533-position model. The record is from RNAcentral.
AGUGAACGCUGGCGGUAGGCCUAACACAUGCAAGUCGAACGGCAGCACAGUAAGAGCUUGCUCUUACGGGUGGCGAGUGGCGGACGGGUGAGGAAUACAUCGGAAUCUACUUUUUCGUGGGGGAUAACGUAGGGAAACUUACGCUAAUACCGCAUACGACCUACGGGUGAAAGCAGGGGAUCUUCGGACCUUGCGCGAUUGAAUGAGCCGAUGUCGGAUUAGCCAGUUGGCGGGGUAAAGGCCCACCAAGGCGACGAUCCGUAGCUGGUCUGAGAGGAUGAUCAGCCACACUGGAACUGAGACACGGUCCAGACUCCUACGGGAGGCAGCAGUGGGGAAUAUUGGACAAUGGGCGCAAGCCUGAUCCAGCCAUACUGCGUGGGUGAAGAAGGCCUUCGGGUUGUAAAGCCCUUUUGUUGGGAAAGAAAAGCAGCAGGUUAAUACCCCGCUGUUCUGACGGUACCCAAAGAAUAAGCACCGGCUAACUUCGUG